CUCCUACGGGACGCAGCAGUGGGGAAUAUUGCACAAUGGGGGAAACCCUGAUGCAGCGACGCCGCGUGAGUGAAGAAGUAUCUCGGUACGUAAAGCUCUAUCAGCAGGGAAGAAAAUGACGGUACCUGACCAAGAAGCCCCGGCUAACUACGUGCCAGCAGCCGCGGUAAUACGUAGGGGGCAAGCGUUAUCCGGAUUUACUGGGUGGAAAGGGAGCGUAGACGGCAGCACAAGUCUGGAGUGAAAU
RNAcentral lists this ribosomal RNA (247 nucleotides) under uncultured bacterium. RNAcentral's name for it is "partial 16S ribosomal RNA". It matches the Rfam family "Bacterial small subunit ribosomal RNA", at positions 336 to 600 of the family's 1533-position model. The record is from RNAcentral.